This 316-nucleotide ribosomal RNA is filed under the name uncultured bacterium. Its description in RNAcentral is "bacterial SSU rRNA". It matches the Rfam family "Bacterial small subunit ribosomal RNA", at positions 28 to 334 of the family's 1533-position model. The record is from RNAcentral.
GAUAAACGCUGGCGGCGCACAUAAGACAUGCAAGUCGAACGGACUUAACUCAUUCUUUUAGAUUGAGAGCGGUUAGUGGCGGACUGGUGAGUAACACGUAAGCAACCUGCCUAUUAGAGGGGAAUAACAGUGAGAAAUCAUUGCUAAUACCGCAUAUGCUAACAGUAUCGCAUGAUACAGUUAGGAAAGGAGCAAUCCGCUAAUAGAUGGGCUUGCGUCUGAUUAGCUAGUUGGUGGGGUAACAGCCUACCAAGGCAACGAUCAGUAGCCGGCUUGAGAGAGUGUACGGCCACAUUGGGACUGAGACACGGCCCAG